CGGUUUGUACGUUUUGCACAGCGUCUGUCGAGGCAGAGAGCAGAAAGAGAUGCGAAUCAAGGAGCAACACAUCCUAUCUGCAAAGAUGCUGGGACUGUCCCUUAUACUCAGACUUGUAUCACUGUUGCUUCAAAGUUGCUGGAUUAAAAUCUCCAAGUUCUCUACUGA
Non-coding RNA from Chiloscyllium plagiosum (whitespotted bambooshark), 168 nucleotides. NCBI's taxonomy places the organism in Eukaryota, Metazoa, Chordata, Chondrichthyes, Orectolobiformes, Hemiscylliidae. The record is from RefSeq and is a predicted model, not a curated record.